Lagopus leucura (white-tailed ptarmigan) is the source of this 5177-nucleotide long non-coding RNA. RefSeq lists it as uncharacterized. The record is from RefSeq and is a predicted model, not a curated record. Lineage: Eukaryota; Metazoa; Chordata; Aves; Galliformes; Phasianidae. The transcript has 17 exons.
AUCUCCACCCAUCACUUCUUUUCCUACCAUAGAGUUCGGAGGGAUGCUGGCUAGUCAGUGUAUCGGCGAGAACCCCGGAAGCGGCUGCGUUUGGGGUGGCUCCUCGCGCGGGUGGCAUAAGGCGGCGGGCGGCAAGAUGGCGGAGUUUGCCAACGCAACCCGUGAGGUCAUCAAUGUCACCCUCCGCACCACUCUGGCUGCUACCACCAAGCUGGUGAUGCCUACACCUGCCAAACCCAUUCUUCCCGUUCAGACUGGAGUCCAGGCACAGCAAGAGGAGCAAUCCAGUGGCAUGACCAUUUUUUUUAGUCUUCUUGUAUUAGCUAUCUGCAUCAUAUUGGUGCAUUUACUGAUAAAAUACCGCCUUCAUUUUUUACCAGAAAGCGUAGCUGUUGUUUCCUUAGGUAUCCUUAUGGGAGCUUUUAUAAAAAUCAUAGAGGCUCAGAAGCUGGCCAACUGGAAGGAGGAAGAAAUGUUUCGUCCAAAUAUGUUUUUUCUGCUUUUGCUUCCACCUAUUAUAUUUGAGUCUGGAUAUUCAUUGCACAAGGGCAAUUUUUUUCAGAACAUAGGCUCCAUCACACUAUUUUCUGUAUUUGGCACAGCAAUAUCAGCUUUCAUAGUAGGUGGAGGAAUUUAUUUCCUGGGCCAGGCUGAUGUAAUUUAUAAACUCAACAUGACAGACAGUUUUGCAUUCGGCUCUUUAAUAUCUGCAGUCGAUCCUGUGGCUACUAUUGCCAUUUUCAAUGCCCUCAAUGUGGAUCCCGUACUUAACAUGCUGGUUUUUGGAGAAAGCAUUCUCAAUGAUGCAGUCUCUAUUGUCUUGACCAACACUGCAGAAGGUUUGACAAGAGAAAAUAUGUCAGAUGUAAGUGGAUGGCAAACUUUUCUACAGGCGCUGGGAUACUUUCUUAAGAUGUUCUUUGGCUCUGCAGCACUUGGAACACUUACUGGCCUUAUUUCUGCAUUAGUGCUAAAGCACAUUGAUUUAAGAAAGACGCCCUCUCUAGAGUUUGGGAUGAUGAUUAUCUUUGCUUACCUUCCUUAUGGACUUGCAGAAGGUAUCUCACUCUCAGGAAUCAUGGCAAUCCUGUUCUCUGGCAUUGUGAUGUCCCACUAUACGCACCAUAACCUCUCCCCUGUUACACAGAUAUUAAUGCAGCAGACACUGAGAACCGUUGCUUUCAUGUGUGAAACGUGUGUUUUUGCAUUUCUUGGCCUGUCUAUUUUUAGUUUUCCUCACAAGUUUGAGAUGUCCUUCGUCAUCUGGUGCAUAGUACUUGUUCUGUUUGGUAGAGCAGUGAAUAUUUUCCCCCUUUCCUACCUACUCAACUUUUUUCGUGAUCAUAAAAUCACCCCUAAAAUGAUGUUUAUCAUGUGGUUUAGUGGUUUACGUGGUGCAAUUCCCUAUGCACUCAGCCUCCAUUUGGGCUUGGAACCAAUAGAGAAGCGUCAGCUCAUUGGAACAACUACAAUCAUCAUAGUGCUGUUCACGGUUUUGCUGUUGGGAGGAGGAACUAUGCCCCUUAUCAGACUAAUUGACAUUGAAGACUCCAAAGCACGCAAGAGGAACAAAAAGGACAUUAAUCUUAGCAAGACAGAGAAAAUGGGAAAUACCAUAGAAUCCGAGCAUUUAUCAGAGCUCACAGAGGAGGAAUAUGAAGCCCAGUACAUAAAACGCCAGGACCUCAAAGGAUUUAUGUGGCUGGAUGCUAAGUAUUUGAAUCCUUUCUUCACCAGAAGACUCACACAAGAAGACUUGCAUCAUGGGCGCAUACAGAUGAAAACUCUCACAAACAAAUGGUAUGAAGAGGUACGACAAGGACCUUCGGGCUCUGAAGAUGAUGAGCAAGAGCUGCUGUAGCAGACCAGGGAAGAAGCACAGGGAGUAUAUUAUUGGACUUUAGAAAGUGAAUUUAAGUAUCAAGACCGUAACUGCACAAAAGCUUCUGAUUUGGGGCGUAUCUUGUUCUGUAUGUUUAAACAUCAAAAAGCAGAUCUCCUUUGCUUGGUAUUAUUAGUCAGUCACUGAUAGCCACUUAAGCGUCAGGCUCUGAACUGAAUGAAGAACUUUCCAGCUUUUACAUCACAGCAAAUUUAAUGCAGCCUGUGAAGAAUGUGGAAGCAUCUGCCAUGAAAUUGUUUAAUUGUUUAAUUGCUGCUUAAUGUGGGUCCUAGUACAAAGCCUGCUGUGAGUGUUUGAAGUACAGAGCCAUCAUAUGACUGCAAGAUAGGAUGAGUUGCAGCUUUUUUUUAUUUUCUUUGAAAAUAUACACCGAUUCACAUGGAGAGGCUUGAUAGUUUAAACUAUGAAUUUGUUUUAGCACUGGUAAGGGAGUCUGGCUGGGAUAAAUCCUUGAUUUAUGAGAGUUACAGGAUCAAAGAAUGAUUUGGGUUGGAAGAGACCUUAGAGAUCAUCCAGUUCCAACCUCCUCUGCCUUGGGCGCAUAGAAUUGCACAUUUUGAAUCCAGAGAAGAUCAUUGCCUUGACAAAUAGCAGAUGCUGCACACAAAGAAGAACUUCUUAAUACCUCCAUAUUUUUGUCAUAUGAAAUUGUCUUGGUAUCUAUUUAAUGGGAUGUUUUAUUUUUAUAUUCUGAGAUGUCGUCCUAAUCAGUACUGUGGGUUAGACAUGACUUGCAAGAGGUGUGGAUUGCAUGACAUUAAAACUGCAAUUUCAAAUGCAGUUCUGCAACACUUUUUUUAUUUUGCUAAAGGCAGUUGCAGUUGGUUUUCCCUGGUUCAAGUCUAAGAAAGCAACAGCUUUUCUUUUGCCUAAAUUCAGGAAGCAUUCCUAACACUCUGGAACUCACUAGCAGACUUCUUGAAUUCUAGUGGAAUCAAAAGCAACUCUUUCCCUGUCGUUGGUUUGAUGAAUUAAGUGUGUACAUGGGGAAGAAGGAGUCUACAAAAAUCUAAUGUAGAUAUGAAAGAGUCAUUUUUGGUCUGGUUUUGUUAUUAGGCUUUUUAAAAAUCAACUUCUGGGAAAAUGAAAGGCUAUUUGGAGUCUUAAACCUGUGCUGGCUAAGCAGUUCUCCAAAAUAACGUGUUAUAUGACCUGCUUUUCCGUAUUAUUACUGUUAUUUUGAAGAACUGUGCUCAUCCUAGAGCUGGAAAACACACUGGCCAAAGUCUGAAUGAGACGCAAAAUCAGCUUCUGGUAUUGACCAGAAAUGAAUUAAUGCUUGGUUUUCUCUUUAGAAGAGGAUCUGUAUUUUUCCUUCAUCCUUCUAGAUGACAGUGGAUUUCAUUACAUUUCAGUUACCCAUCAGUCUUAAAAUAGAGAUAUCAAGGAAAGUGCACAAGUUACAGUGCUGUGAAGGGUGGGAAUGUGUGUUCAGGUUCUGCGUUAUGUUUGUUCAGUGCAAUGAGGACUGUUAAAAAAUCUGCUCAGUGAGAAUCUCUGUGCUGUCAGUGCCAGCGGACUGAAGCCGCCAACUUCUGAGACUUGUUUGUCUGCUGGAGGCAAGCAUGUGUUAUCCGUCUUGUCUUUUUUUGUCCUGUACCAGCUGGGAACUUAGACAUGCAAGCCAGAAUGGGGAGCUGGUAAAGUUGUGCUGUCAUCAGGCUGACACUGACCUGUGUGGAUUCUUAUUCCUGCCCAGACCAGGAGGUUCUCUUCUCUGCAGGAGCUGUGCUUGAGUUUAAUGUUCCAGAUGCUAUUAUGCUAGACAUGGUGCUGUAUCAUAAUCAUGCUGAAAUAGCAAAGGUGCUCUCAUUGCUAUGGUUAUUCUGAAACGAGGCACCUGCAAAAGGAGUGAGGUCUGUACCAGCACGUCAACCAUAUCGAUUUCCAUUCGAGGUAAAGUGAUCGUUACUGCCCUCUGUUGGCAGUCAACGGUAACGGCGUGACAUCUCACGAUCGUAUGCUGAGAGUAGUUUAAUAAAUUAAAUGGAAGCAAUGAAUUGAUACAGCUAGAACGAAUGAAAUCACUCUGAAGCAAAUAAACCGAAGAAAACCUUGGGUCUUUUCAUUAAAAGAAACUAUGCUGAAAUUUAAGAAGCUUAGAUUUGUCAGAGCUUGGAAUGAAGUUGAGCACUUGCCUCAGCAACUCCAAUGUCCAGCAGAACAUGGAGCGCAGGAGUUACUGAGACAGAAGCUGUCCCUGGGAAGGGCUGGGAGCUCCAUUGCUCAACAUCUGCAGCCCACCUACAGCUCAGCCUUCACUGCAUGGGCACCAAACCCUGUCAAAGCCCCUGGGACAGCUCCAGCUCUGCAGCAGCAGCAGGCUCCCACUAAGCCACAACACAGUCCAGGUAUGCCAAAUCCUCCCAACUGGGGGCCUGUUUCCUGCCCAUCAUUCACCUCUGAACCCAAGGCAGGGUCAGCACCCCUGACCCACAAUAACAACUGGAUACUUCUGGAAGCAACAGUGAGUGCAAGAAGCCUGACCAACUUCGGCAGGCACUGGGCUGCCCACAGCUGGGGAAGAGCUGUAAGAACUAUCUGGCCUUAGCACAGAGCAAGUAGAGCAUGCCAGAAAUCAGGUCUUCCCUCUCUGAUAACACAGAGAUGAGCAGGGAGGCACUGCAUUUCCCAUCUGCAAAUUAGCAUACAAAUAAGAGUAUCCAGUAAAUGUGAUUUUAAUUUAAAUGUCAAUUCCAUCUUAUUGCUAAACUCAAAGAGGCUUCCAAGAAGCUGGACAGUGCAACAGCCUCCUUCCCCAGUGCAUUUAUUGGAUUUUGGUGAUGAGAGAGAUACAGCGCAGCUCUGAAGCAUUCCAUCCAUUCAUGAAGCUGCAGCAGGUUUCUCAAUCUUUCUCUGCCUUCUGUCAGAUCUUGUCCGUGGCUUCAAAUCUUCUCCAUAUUAUGCCAUGAUUCAUGAAGAAUAGGGGGGAGUGCUCAGAAUUUGUUUGAAGUCUUCUGCCUCGUUUUAUCUUAAGAAGGAUCAGCAAUAGUGAAUCUGGGCUUCAGUGGAAGACAGCUGGCUGCAAGAACACAGGCAAGGAGCUGAAGCUCUAGCUGAAGGGAGCAGGUGGAACUGAAUGCUGCAGAAUUUGUUAAAUAUGGGAAGAAAUCUGAGUGCUCUGAGCAAUCCCUGCUUUUAGAAACUCUUCACAGUGAUCCUCUUCCCUCCCUCCUUGUUCUUUCAGUGCCGGUUUGUUAGUCUCUGAUGUUUCAGUCUCAACAACUAGACUUUAACUCCAGGCCAAUGACUAGUAAAGUUACCUGGCAAUCCA